UUGAACGCUGGCGGCAUGCCUUACACAUGCAAGUCGAACGGGCUUUAGGGGCUUGCUCCUAAAGUUAGUGGCGAACGGGUGAGUAAAGUAUCGGAACGUACCAUUCAGUGGGGGAUAACGUAGCGAAAGUUACGCUAAUACCGCAUAUUCUGUGAGCAGGAAAGCAGGGGAUCGCAAGACCUUGCGCUGAUUGAGCGGCCGAUAUCAGAUUAGCUAGUUGGCGGGGUAAUAGCCCACCAAGGCGACGAUCUGUAGCGGGUCUGAGAGGAUGAUCCGCCACACUGGGACUGAGACACGGCCCAGACUCCUACGGGAGGCAGCAGUGGGGAAUUUUGGACAAUGGGCGCAAGCCUGAUCCAGCCAUGCCGCGUGAGUGAAGAAGGCCUUCGGGUUGUAAAGCUCUUUCAGACGGAAAGAAAUCGGGCGCGUGAAUAGCGUGCCUGGAUGACGGUACUGUCAGAAGAAGCACCGGCUAACUACGU
RNAcentral lists this ribosomal RNA (482 nucleotides) under uncultured bacterium. RNAcentral describes it as "bacterial SSU rRNA". It matches the Rfam family "Bacterial small subunit ribosomal RNA", at positions 30 to 506 of the family's 1533-position model. The record is from RNAcentral.